CGCCGGUAUAGCUCAGCUGGUAGAGCAACUGACUUGUAAUCAGUAGGUCCCGGGUUCGACUCCUGGUGCCGGCACC
RNAcentral lists this transfer RNA (76 nucleotides) under Pseudomonas aeruginosa. Its description in RNAcentral is "partial Thr tRNA". It matches the Rfam family "tRNA". Rfam says of the family: Transfer RNA (tRNA) molecules are approximately 80 nucleotides in length. Their secondary structure includes four short double-helical elements and three loops (D, anti-codon, and T loops). Lineage: Bacteria; Pseudomonadati; Pseudomonadota; Gammaproteobacteria; Pseudomonadales; Pseudomonadaceae. The record is from RNAcentral. RNAcentral also lists the same sequence under 2 other names.